RNAcentral lists this ribosomal RNA (492 nucleotides) under uncultured bacterium. RNAcentral's name for it is "partial 16S ribosomal RNA". It matches the Rfam family "Bacterial small subunit ribosomal RNA", at positions 29 to 507 of the family's 1533-position model. The record is from RNAcentral.
AGUGAACGCUGGCGGUAGGCCUAACACAUGCAAGUCGAACGGCAGCACAGUAAGAUCUUGCUCUUACGGGUGGCGAGUGGCGUACGGGUGAGGUAUACAUCGUAAUCUACUUUUUCGUGUGGGAUAACGUAGGUAAACUUACUCUAAUACCGCAUACGACCUUCGGGUGAAAGCAAGGGAUCUUCUUACCUUGCGGGAUUGAAUGCGCCGAUGUCGGAUUAGCUAGUUGGCGGGGUAAAGGCCCACCAAGGCGCCGAUCCGUAGCUGGUGUGGGUGGAUGGUAGGCGACACGGGAAGGGAGACAGCGACAAGGCGACUAAGGGAGGGACCAGUGGGGAACGGUGGACAAUGGGGGCAAGCCUGAUCCAGCCGUAGCACGUGGGUGAAGAAGGCCUUCGGGUUGUAAAGCCGUUUUGUGGGGAAAGAAAAGCUGCAGCUUAAGACGACGCUGUUCUGACGGUACCCAAAGAAUAAGCACCGGCUAACUUCGUG